Molecule: long non-coding RNA, 2514 nt
Filed under: Salmo salar (Atlantic salmon)
Lineage: Eukaryota; Metazoa; Chordata; Actinopteri; Salmoniformes; Salmonidae
Description: lncRNA (ENSSSAG00000100699.1)
Source: RNAcentral
CCUCAAUCAACUGCCUGGUGAAAUUAAAAGAAAAUGCAAUUGGUGUGUUGAUGCAGAAGUAUGCAUCCAAGUACGCACAUACAGUCUCUCAUUCACUUCACAGUGCCUGCUGUCAAGUCAUUCAAUCACAUUCGAUAGUGCUCCUCUGCUGCUAUAUCCCCUAGGAGCAGGAGAGGACAGUACAGAGAGUCUUUAGAGGCCCAUUGUGUCUGCUCAGUAGUAAGGAGGAUUCUGUUGCCUGCAUUAUUAAACAUAGCUUUGCUUACUGUUCUGGUAAGUGGAUCACUGGAGGCUUGGCUUCUAGGUACAAACACAACAUGGACGCAGACACACGGACACACACACUUUAAUACAUGUUUACUGGAAAGGAGCGGUCUGGGUUCACAAGGUGAAAACACUUGACCUUAGCUUGCUGAUUGGACAUUAUCUUCUAAUAUGGCAGAUGGCUGUAGAGUUAUGAUCCAUAGUUGACACUAUGCUGGUAAAGGAAUUCCUUUGAACAUGGACCAGCUGACAACAUCCAGUGAGACGCAAGCACACACAUACACACGCACGCCCACACUAGGGUUCAGAUGUUCAUACCAUCAUACCGUUUCUGUACCAUACUGCGGUAUAAGGUACUACCUAAUGUGCAAACAAGGGGCGCUAUUUCGUUCAAAAAAAACCCUGCACAAAACAAUUUAGGCAACAGGGAUCUUGAUCCAGGAGGGGGUUGAAUGUCUCUGCUGUAACCAAGAAGCUUGAUCUUGACAUCUAACCACUUAGUAAGUUAGCAAACCAAAUGCAUAGCUGGAGGCCUGAGCUGGUUAUCAUUUAUUUGACACAUCUUAGAUUUCUUAUAGUUAUACUUAACCUAAGCAGUGGCUGUCUACAGACAGAGGCUCACAGACCUUCCUGCCCUCCAUACUGUACACAGUACCUCCCUACACUCCUGCACACAUGGACACACACACACACACACGCACACACCCUCUCCUCAAACGUACACCCCUCUCUGCAUUCCCCCUGUCAGAGCUUCUGUAGACUGGUGUGUGUGUGUGUGUGUCUAUCAGUGUGUGUGUGUGUAAAUGUGAUUUUCCCAAUUCUACAGCACAGAGAAACAUGGCAUUUUGUCCUCUCUCAAAAAUAAGCCAGUAACUUUGAUGAACAGGUUAGCAGCUAGGAUGGUUAGCUACUGUACAUUUAGCUAUGAUACAGCUAGCUACUACUGUACAGUCAUCUAUUGUACUGUUAGCUACAAAUAGCUAAUAUUAACUAUAACCGACAUACAGUUAGCUUACAUACAGUUAGCUGCUGUAGUUUACCGUUUGAGCCCUUGGCAGGAUCAGGUCUGCCAUGUAAACCACUGUUGUCAAUGCUAGCUAGCUACUCAGGUUAAGUAUCCUCAUGAGUCAUAUGGGACAAUCAUAAAACCCAUUGAUAACGGGAGAAUAGAAAGAGAGAUCAGAGAUCAAAUAAAUAGCUCACGAGUCCACCUCGAUUGUUCCUCAGGCGUGUGAGUGUGCGAGAGUGUGAGUGUGUGCGUGGGUGAGUGUGUGUGCUUGUGGCAGUGGCAGUGUCAGUGAGUGUUAGUGUGAGAUAUGCGACCAUGUUGCGCGGCCAUCUGCUUUGUGUGUAACCAUAAACAAACGCAGGCCCACCAGAGGCCAGGCAACUUCACAGUAUCAUUUCCACAAGGUCCGGUCUAGACUGCAAGCAUGGGGAAAUGUAUCCAUGCUGCAUGUCUCUGGGUAGAUGAUUCACAGAUAAGGUUAUAACGGGAACGGUUAUGCAAUAUCAUUUAUAAUUCAUUACCACAAAUACAAUAUGUAGGCUGUUCUGUGCCAUACUGGAGCACAUGGGCAGAUUAGAGGAAGGAUAUUAAAGAGAGAGAGAGAGAGAGAGAGAGAGAGAGAGAGAGACAGACUAAAGAACUGAGCUAUGGGGGUGUUGACUGUCUGAACAGUGUUCCACAGCCUAACAUAGGCUUCUGUUGAGUCUAUGUGGGUCUACUGGUAGCCUAUAGGCUAUAGAUUCCAACAUUGCUAAAAAGGGGGCAAUAUCUGAGUUUGCUAACAUUGCUAAUAAAGGAAUGAUGCACAGUUAGCUUAGCAUAGCUAAAGACCAUGGGUCUUUGAAGCCUUGUCCCUUAUCCAUAUAGCCGUGGUAGUAUGGCUAGGCAGCAUGGGAUCUAUACACUAUUAUGUCUGUCUAAUCGAAUGCCUGGCAUGUGCAGAAUUCCAGAGCCGCGGGCAGUACUGGGUAAGGAUUGGAGGCUUGGGGCUUAGCGUGGGUCUGAGGUUGGGGUCAGGGUUGGAGCUGGGGCUGGGAACUUGGCUGAGGAUGGGGCAUGGGGCUGGAACUGGGGCUGAGGUUGGAGCUAGGGCUGGGGCGGAAACGAUAGGGGCAUUGGAUAGAGCUUGGGCGGCCCCGGCUCUUCUGCACCGUAAGCAGGCCAGGCAGGUUGUGUUACGGGUCAGGCCAGGCACAGACUUGCUGGGGGAGUCGAGCCAGGGUGGGGCACGGAGGGGGCUG